UACGUGCCAGCAGCCGCGGUAAUACGUAGGGCGCAAGCGUUGUCCGGGAAUUAUUGGGCGUAAAGAGCUCGUAGGCGGUUUGUCGCGUCUGCUGUGAAAGCCCGGGGCUCAACCCCGGGUCUGCAGUGGGUACGGGCAGACUAGAGUGCAGUAGGGGAGACUGGAAUUCCUGGUGUAGCGGUGAAAUGCGCAGAUAUCAGGAGGAACACCGAUGGCGAAGGCAGGUCUCUGGGCUGUUACUGACGCUGAGGAGCGAAAGCAUGGGGAGCGAACAGGAUUAGAUACCCUGGUAGUCCAUGCCGUAAACGUUGGGCACUAGGUGUGGGGGACAUUCCACGUUUUCCGCGCCGUAGCUAACGCAUUAAGUGCCCCGCCUGGGGAGUACGGCCGCAAGGCUAAAACUCAAAGGAAUUGACGGGGGCCCGCACAAGCGGCGGAGCAUGCGGAUUAAUUCGAUGCAACGCGAAGAACCUUACCAAGGCUUGACAUUCACCGGACCGCCCCAGAGAUGGGGUUUCCCUUCGGGGCUGGUGGACAGGUGGUGCAUGGUUGUCGUCAGCUCGUGUCGUGAGAUGUUGGGUUAAGUCCCGCAACGAGCGCAACCCUCGUUCUAUGUUGCCAGCACGUGAUGGUGGGGACUCAUAGGAGACUGCCGGGGUCAACUCGGAGGAAGGUGGGGAUGACGUCAAAUCAUCAUGCCCCUUAUGUCUUGGGCUUCACGCAUGCUACAAUGGCCGGUACAAAGGGUUGCGAUACUGUGAGGUGGAGCUAAUCCCAAAAAGCCGGUCUCAGUUCGGAUUGAGGUCUGCAACUCGACCUCAUGAAGUCGGAGUCGCUAGUAAUCGCAGAUCAGCAACGCUGCGGUGAAUACGUUCCCGGGCCUUGUACACACCGCCCGUCAAGUCACGAAAGUUGGUAACACCCGAAGCCGGUGGCCUAACCCC
This 944-nucleotide ribosomal RNA is filed under the name Kocuria sp. WLSH-52. RNAcentral describes it as "bacterial SSU rRNA". It matches the Rfam family "Bacterial small subunit ribosomal RNA", at positions 502 to 1442 of the family's 1533-position model. Lineage: Bacteria; Bacillati; Actinomycetota; Actinomycetes; Micrococcales; Micrococcaceae. The record is from RNAcentral.